This 260-nucleotide long non-coding RNA is filed under the name Sinocyclocheilus anshuiensis. Its description in RNAcentral is "lncRNA (ENSSANG00000026547.1)". The record is from RNAcentral. Lineage: Eukaryota; Metazoa; Chordata; Actinopteri; Cypriniformes; Cyprinidae.
UGGAGCUGUUCAGGUCCUCAGACUGGGAAUUAUCAUAGAGAAUUAUGCAUCACUAUCAACGCCUACAUGAAUCUGCAGUGGUCAGGUGGUACAGCGUUCACGUGGUACAAGCUCUUAAACAUGGCGUGACGCUGCUCUUUAAGUUACCACCCAGGAACCAACGCUGCCUGCAGCUCAACCUAGCUGAUGGAUCUGAGUGCGGUCGCCAACCUCCAAUCACCCCAGACACGAGCCCCAGGACCCCACACCACCCCACGGUA